Molecule: unclassified non-coding RNA, 148 nt
Organism: Callithrix jacchus (white-tufted-ear marmoset)
Lineage: Eukaryota; Metazoa; Chordata; Mammalia; Primates; Cebidae
Rfam family: Metazoan signal recognition particle RNA
About the family: The signal recognition particle (SRP) is a universally conserved ribonucleoprotein. It is involved in the co-translational targeting of proteins to membranes.
Source: Ensembl
GCUGGGUAUGGUGGCAUGUGCCUGUAGUCCUAGCUACUCAGGAGGCUGAGGCAGGAAGAUAGCUUGAGCCCAGGAGGUCAAGGAUGCCGUGAGCCAUAAUGGCACCACUGCACUCUAGCCUGGGUGACAGAGCAAGACCCUGUCUCUA